CACGCCCCUCACCGGGUGACUGGGGAGCGGCGCGGUCUGUGGCGGUGGGGACAUAGCCUCGGGGUCGCGCUGGACAAUGGGUUGACGGUGUGCGGGUCCUGGAUCUGACAGUUGUUUCCAGCAGCAUCUAAACUCAAUGUCUCCCAGUACUUAAGAUGACAUAAAUUUGAAGGAAAUCCCCAGUUGUUUCAUUAGUGUCAGUAUCAGAGGUUAAAUGACUUCCAGGAAACCAUAAAUACGCACAAAGAGAAGCUGGUGGUUCUUGCUGCUUUCUUCCAUACCUCAAGGUAGAGAACUGGCUUAACUUCUUGCACCAAUGUGCAUCACUGAAGAUCUUGCUCGCCAAUCGAACUGUCAACUCACUGAUCUUGGUUGCCACCGAUCUUUGUUGCCACCGAUCUUUGUUGCCACCAUUGUGUAGGACUCCUUUGCUGAGGGUGGAAUGCGUUUGUAUGAGCAGCCAGCAAGCUCAAAGGUUCUCAAUGGAAAAAAAAAAAAAAAAAAAAAAAAAAGCUGGCAGGCGGACACGCAUGCGCAGGCUGUUAGCCCUGUAGUUGGGGAGAUAAUUGCCCUUCUAAUCAUCUAGAAACUGCAAGUGAAAGAAGGCCGUUGUGAUGUGCUCGGUGUUUUGUUUCUCUCCCAAGUUUCCAAAAAACGAACUUUAUGAAUAAAGAAGCAAAGGUCAAACAGAACGGAAUAGAGUCUAAUCAGUCAAAACAAGAUAGUGGGAGUAAUACAGGACUUCAAAACAAGUUAAUAGGAAAUCAAAAAAGUUAUUAUAAUAUAUCCUGCUAAUUUUCCCCCUUAAUUAAAAAAAUAAAAAAAUAACUAAAUUUUUUUUAAUGAAUAAGAAAGAGAUUGAGAUAAAAGAGGACAUAACAACAUAGCAAUUCAGGUCAAAGCAUGACAAUUUCAGCAGCCUAGUGCUUCACCAACAAAUAACCCGACCUUGUAGUUACCAUAGUGUCUUUUUCCUUGAAAUAUUUGAAUAAAACUUCAUAUACUAUAGCAUCAAACAUAUCAAGACAGUGUAAAAGCAUUCAAGUGGAUGAAAGUAUUGUAUUUAGAACCAGCUAACAGAAAACGAGCAAUGGUUUCUAUAUUAUCUCUUUGCCUAUAAUAAUUUUUAUUUAUACUAUCACAUAUAAUAAAAUCCAGCAAGAUAUAUCAUGAUAAAACCAAUGGAGACAGAAGAGCCAUAGUUUGGUGGGGCUUCAAAACAAGAUGAUAUUAAAUCAGCACUAGCUAUGACUUGUUUUCUUCAAAAUAGCUGUUCAUUUCAUCACAGGCAAUAAUAUCAAGCAGCCCAGAAUAAAGCCAUUCCAAUUAAUAAGUGAAAACUUUAUAAGGCUUCAUGACCACAUAAUGGGGAAUCAUGAUUACCACGUGUUUACAAUGUUUAGGUUCUAUUGGUCUUGUUCUGUACUGUUUUGCUCAACUUUAUAAUACCUAAUGAUAUAGGCAAUUCUUUUUAAGGAAGCAAGAGGCAUUAUGGUAACCAUUGUUGAUAACCUUGUACUCUAUUUUUACAUCAUGUGCUAUGUCUAUCCUUGGUUUUGACUGACAGCUUUGUUUUGUCAUAUUUGGUUUUAUUCUCUUCCAAAAAAAUAAUAAGAACUAUGGGAGUAAUAAAACCCAAAAUGUGUAAAUUUUGUUGUAAAAAAAGCGAGGGAAAAAAAGUACUCUAAAGAAUACAACUGCAAGUGUGUUUAGGUGUGUUAAGAUAGAUGACCAUAUUAAUGUUUUUGUUGGAUCAUUGAACACAACUGUUUGCAGUCUCACUGUUUGAAUGUCCACUUUGUAUGCUUUGAUCCUGUGACUUGAGCAACUAUCUCUAAGAUGAUAAUGUGUAAUCUAUUAACUGGUGAUUUCUUACUUUUUUUUUUUUGUAGUUCUGUAUUACUUGUACCCUUACACUGUUUUGUUUUGGUUUUUUUUUCUCUUUUUAAAUAAAAUUUAAAAAAAAAAGAAGCAAAGGUCCUCUAAAGUGGUAUGCAGUGUGCCCAAUCCUGUGUAAUCUGUUUCUGUGAUCUCAAAAAGUUGGGGAGGUUUCCACAACCAAACUGGAGCCUUGCUGAGUUCCUACUUCUUUGAUCUAGCUUUUCUGGGAUGCUAUAUCAGAACCUGGACCUGACCCUUGAAACUUUGAACCUUACCAGUCCUUUUUUUUUUUUUUUCAACAUUUUAUUCACAAAAUACAGUUGGUAUUGAACCAUUAAAUAACAUUAACUAAGACAUUGAUCUGCCAAAGAAGUUGUUCAUGACUCAUUAAAAUGCAUGUCAGCAUACAGGGUAACUUAAUGUAUACUUUAUUGCAAAGUUCUGUACCCGAGCAUAUGGUAAAAACGUUAUUUUUGAAAAAGCCCAUGGGAAAGUUCCCAUACAAAAUAUUAAGACUAAGUAAUAUCACCGAAAUUUCUGAGAUCCACAGAAGUUAUUCACUUUUACCUUUACACCAAGUACUUAAAGUGAUUUUUUUGAUAAAUGUGUAAAUAUAGGUAGAACAAUGCUUCCUUGAUUAGAGUGCUAUUACUAGAAGUGGCUUUUGAUGAACCUUUGAAGAAGAAGUGAUUCUUAAUGUGUUAAACCACUUUUUUUUUUUACUUAAAAAGAAAAUUUAAAACACUCUAGACAAAAAGAAAAUAGUGUGAGACAUGCAAUGGAGUAACAUCAUAAAGGUAAAGAAAAGUGUUCAAUAACGGCAAAAGUAAUACGUUUCUGUAAGGACCGUUGGUUUUGAUUAGCACCUUUUCUGUAAGUCUAAAUCAUUAUCCACAUAUUUUAAGUACUGAAAUUGCAAUUGCAACUUCUGAGUGAAAGUUCAUUUUCAGCCUCUUAAGCUCUUAAAAUCACUUAAAUCACCUGUUAUUAAGCUUGCUACCUAGAAACUGAAUGAAAAAUAUCAGAGCAGUCACUAAUAGUUACUGUGUAUAGAGGAGUUCUUGUUUUUCCAUCAACUUCUCAUUUUCUUGACUUGUGUAUUUUCUCCUGUAGUCACAUAAAGUUGGAUCAUAGUAUAUGUUGGAAUGCAUUCAGUCUUUCUUUGAAAAUGGCACUAAAAUUCAUGGGAAGAGAUUUAAUAAUUUUUUUACAAUGUUUUACCAUACUUCAGGAGUAGAAAGUGUGUUGAGGAGCUAUGAUGAACACUGAGGUGAAUGGAUUGUUUUAUUUUCUCAC
Molecule: long non-coding RNA, 3177 nt
Organism: Cavia porcellus (domestic guinea pig)
Lineage: Eukaryota; Metazoa; Chordata; Mammalia; Rodentia; Caviidae
Exons: 3
Source: RefSeq, a predicted model, not a curated record